CCCUAUUUUCACUCUCAUUCUCCAUCAUCUCUCCAAAAGCGCUGCAACCCUCUCCUCUGCAUCCUUUCUAGUUCCGGUUAGAAGCAGGAGGUGGAGGACCACUAGUUAACGCCCCUUCCCUCUCAUCUACUCUCUCCCGCGAGAAAGCAAUAGUCAUCUACUGGUGAAACAACAAGCAAUUCUGACGACGCGAGCCAUCGGCGAGAGCGCGAAACCAAUAUCAGUUGCGACCGGCGAAGAGCUCCAGCAAAGCAACAACACUUUGGCAAGUAGUCGCGAGCCACCACCAACAGCAGUUGUGGCCAAUCACCAGCGAAACUCCAUGGGAACGAUAGCUUCGACCAGCGACGCAACAACAACGACGAGGUUGUUCAAGCUUAAAAUCCCAGUCAUGAAGACAAAUGUUCAACAAAUACAUCUAGAUAAGUUUUCGAUUAAUUCGAAAGCCUGCAUUUUCAAUUCUUUGGUGAUUUUCAUUUAAGUGGAUGUAAAAUCCGACCUUGGAGCUUUUAGAAGGCCUUUGAAGACUACUUGCUCACCUUCCGAGGAUGAUGUCAUUAUUAAGCUAUUGAUGUUGUUCUAGUUAAAACGCUCCUAGUUCUUUCCUUUUCAUUUGAGAUUGUCUGUUAUAUAAGCCUAUAUGAGGCUCUUUAUUGGGUUAAGCACAAUUGUUGUAUUCAUUUUAGAUGGUUUUAAUAUGAGACGUAUUCUAGACUUCUUAUAAA
This is a long non-coding RNA of Solanum pennellii, 725 nucleotides long. RefSeq lists it as uncharacterized. The transcript has 2 exons. The record is from RefSeq and is a predicted model, not a curated record. NCBI's taxonomy places the organism in Eukaryota, Viridiplantae, Streptophyta, Magnoliopsida, Solanales, Solanaceae.